CGUGGCUCUGUUGCUAUGGUAGUAAGAACAUGCUUUCGUUCUUCCAUAGGUGUUUGCAUGGGGACAUAUGUGGCUGUUUCCAUGGCAACAAGGUGCCUUAUCUCUUAGUGGAGCAGGAGUACAUAAGAAAAAAAGGCUUGAAUGAGUCCGAAGAGGGGGAAAUUGAAAGUGAAACUGGGCACUUCCAAAGCUAUGAUGCUGUGAGGCAAAGAAAAAAAUUCAACCUUCAAGUGUCCUGUGUUCAAGGAAUAAAAACCUCAGGAGUCCUGGCCUUCAACAAAUUUGAAGCCCAGUUCCUUAUCUUACAGAAGCAGAAAAUAAAACCCAUGGGUUGAAGAUGACAAGAAGGAGAAACUUGGCUUUUGAGUUGGUGGUCUAUAUGAGAGUUGAGCUGGCCAGGAGAAACUGAGAUACUUUAAACUUUGUUUCU
RNAcentral lists this long non-coding RNA (430 nucleotides) under Monodelphis domestica (gray short-tailed opossum). Its description in RNAcentral is "lncRNA (ENSMODG00000044554.1)". Lineage: Eukaryota; Metazoa; Chordata; Mammalia; Didelphimorphia; Didelphidae. The record is from RNAcentral.